UAUUGCACAAUGGGGGAAACUCUGAUGCAGCGACGCCGCGUGAGUGAAGAAGUACUUCGGUAUGUAAAGCUCUAUCAGCAGGGAAGAAAAUGACGGUACCUGAUUAAGACGCACCGGCUAACUACGUGCCAGCAGCCGCGGUAAUACGCAGGGGGCAAGCGUUAUCCGGAUUUACUGGGUGUAAAGGGAGCGUAGACGGCAGCACAAGUCUGGAGUGAAAUGCCGGGGCUUAACCCCGGAACUGCUUUGGAAACUGUGCAGCUAGAGUGCAGGAGAGGUAAGUGGAAUUCCUAGUGUAGCGGUGAAAUGCGUAGAUAUUAGGAGGAACACCGGUGGCGAAGGCGGCUUACUGGACAGAAACUGACACUGAGGCUCGAAAGCGUGGGGAGCAAACAGG
This 397-nucleotide ribosomal RNA is filed under the name uncultured bacterium. Its description in RNAcentral is "bacterial SSU rRNA". It matches the Rfam family "Bacterial small subunit ribosomal RNA", at positions 362 to 776 of the family's 1533-position model. The record is from RNAcentral.